This 722-nucleotide unclassified non-coding RNA is filed under the name Hevea brasiliensis (rubber tree). The record is from RNAcentral. Lineage: Eukaryota; Viridiplantae; Streptophyta; Magnoliopsida; Malpighiales; Euphorbiaceae.
GGCAAGCAAAUUGGCAACACAAUCCCAUUUUCUCCUUUCUUGUUUCUGAACGGUAUAUAAAAGCUUGCCACUCCAGGGAUGGCCCCUCCCCCACCUUUCGCUGGCCCACCAUAUGCAGCCUUACCCCAUCCAAAAUCCACCUCUCCAAAUCCUGCACGCGUCACAUCCGACACUAGGUAACUCCUCACCACUGUAAAAUGAGGCCUACCUUUAAUCACCAUCAGAUCCGCCACGGAUCGCAUGUACUCUUCCAUCACACUAUCUUUAACCUCUUUUACCAAUUCUAAUGCGAAGCCUAGCGGUUUCUCAAUUAGUUCUUUUGCUCUUGCCACCGCCACCGGAAACACAAAUCCGUUGCCGUAAUAUCCAGUUGGUAACGGAGGAUUGAAUUUGUUGCGUCCAUUGACAAUACAAAUAAUACGCAUCUCUUCAGUGGGAUCUGGUUGAAGUGCAAUGGUACGGCACUUCCACAGACAUGCCGUCAAUAAUUCAAAGUUAGAGCAUUGGCGGAGGUGCUUCGGCACAAAUCUUCGGAGAGCAGCGACUUCAUUGGGUCCAAAGAAGAAUGAUUGGUGAGCCAUGUCAUCGAGCGGGAUUAUUGUGCCUUUGGUGUCGGCAACCUCAUCGUAUUCACGAUGGGUGCGUGUCACACGUGGUGGAUCCCGAGCGUUAAGGAAAUGCCUUUCCCAUACUGGAAGAACAGACGGCGCUUGUGCGCCACG